GAUGAACGCUGGCGGCGUGCCUAAUACAUGCAAGUCGAGCGAACGGACGAGAAGCUUGCUUCUCUGAUGUUAGCGGCGGACGGGUGAGUAACACGUGGAUAACCUACCUAUAAGACUGGGAUAACUUCGGGAAACCGGAGCUAAUACCGGAUAAUAUUUUGAACCGCAUGGUUCAACAGUGAAAGACGGUCUUGCUGUCACUUAUAGAUGGAUCCGCGCUGCAUUAGCUAGUUGGUAAGGUAACGGCUUACCAAGGCAACGAUGCAUAGCCGAUCUGAGAGGGUGAUCGGCCACACUGGAACUGAGACACGGUCCAGACUCCUACGGGAGGCAGCAGUAGGGAAUCUUCCGCAAUGGGCGAAAGCCUGACGGAGCAACGCCGCGUGAGUGAUGAAGGUCUUCGGAUCGUAAAACUCUGUUAUUAGGGAAGAACAUAUGUGUAAGUAACUGUGCACAUCUUGACGGUACCUAAUCAGAAAGCCACGGCUAACUACGUG
Molecule: ribosomal RNA, 497 nt
Filed under: uncultured bacterium
Lineage: Bacteria
Description: partial 16S ribosomal RNA
Rfam family: Bacterial small subunit ribosomal RNA
Source: RNAcentral